RNAcentral lists this long non-coding RNA (3041 nucleotides) under Canis lupus familiaris (dog). RNAcentral's name for it is "lncRNA (ENSCAFG00845022973.1)". Lineage: Eukaryota; Metazoa; Chordata; Mammalia; Carnivora; Canidae. The record is from RNAcentral.
AGAGAGAGAGAGAGGCAGAAACACAAGCAGAGGGAGAAGUAGGCUCCCUGUGGGGAGCCCUAUGCGGGACUCAAUCCCAGGACCCUGGGAUCAUGCCCUGAGCCAGAGGCAGAUGCUCAACCACUGAGUCAUCAAGGUGUCCUUUAUUGUGGUUCUGAUUUGCAUUUCCCUAUUGACCAGUGAUGUUGAGCAUCUUUUCAUGUACUUACUGGCCAUUUGUAGAUCUUUGGAGAAAUGUCUAUUCAAGUCCCUUCCUCAUUUUAAAAUCAGGUUGUGUUUUGUUGUUGUGAUCGAAUUGUAGUAGUUCUGUAUAUAUUCUGGAUGUUAACCCCUUAUCAGAUAUAUGAUUUGCAAAUAUUUCCCUCUGUUCUGUGGGUGGGAUUGUGGGAUUCUUUUAGGCAACAGUAUCCUCUGUGUGGGGGCCUGUACUUCAACAACCUCCCUGGGUUAUUCUGUAGGGCUUAUGCAUCACUGUUCUGAUGUACAUACCAUAGGAUGGAACUUCCGCUGAUGUAUAUGUAAUAAAUGUGUGUGGAUUUGAUUAGAGCCUUAGAAUGUUUGAGUAGAAAGGACACCGGGAGGUCGCUUCACAUAAGCACCUAUUUUUAUAAUGAAUAAACCAAAUGAAAUCAAAAUGACUCACCAGAGGGGACACAUAGCAAGAGCUUAGACACAAAGGCUUCGUUCCCAGUUCUUGCUGCUUGCACCAUGCUGUGGGCUCUGGACUACCUUUGUAGAAGAUUUGUUUGCUAUAUGGGGAGUUUGUAUGGUAUGUUCACACUCACCUUACAAAAUAUAUUAUUAAAAGGUGAGGUGUUUUGUUUUUCUUCAAUGGGAAUGCCUAAUAGGAAAGAAAUACAGGCCAACAAAUUGCCUGAAUGCCAUUUUUACUUGACUAUACUCUAGAGGUAAUUCAUGAAACCCUAACGUCCUUGAGAAAUGGAGCCUAGUGACAGGCUGAGGGACUGUAUCUUUCUUUUUAGAACAAUUAUUUCUCUUACCUGUCUCUAUGAUUUAUGUCUUCACUCACCCCUGCUUCUCCUUCUAGCUCUCUGGCUCCCCUUUGGGACCAUCUCAUAUUCCCUCUCUCCCCUACAUGUGAAGGUUGCCUUCAGCCCCCUUCAUUUCUCACCAAGUACCUUCUCCCUAGCCAACUGAUUUUGUCCUUGACUUUGCUGGUGAUGACUCUCAGACUGAGUGCACCAGCCCAGCCCAGACUCAGACUUAUGAGUGCCUUCUACAUGUGUCUGCAAGGAAGCCCCAGCAGGUCAAACUCCAAGUGUCCAAAUUUUACCUGGUCUGUUCCUCCUCAGAACUUGCUCUCUUUGCCCUGCCCACAUUUGCCAAAGCCAGAAACCUAGGAGUCAGCCUCUCCCUUAACACUCAUGGUCAGUCAGUCAUUUAACUGUUAAUGCUGUUUGUUAAAUAGCUAGCAGAUUUUUGUUGAUCCUUCUUUUCAUUCUGCCUUGACCUAGUCUUUGUUUAGCCAGUCAUAUUCAGAGAAGCUGAGGCUCCCCACUGCACACACACAGACACAUACACACACAAGUGUACACACACACACUACGGCUACUGGAGAGGGGCAAGAGAUGCUGGUAAAUAUAUUACCAAUGCACAGGACAGCUGCCCACGACAAAGAAUUAUCCAGCCCAAAUUGUGAAGACUUCCAAGGUUGAGCAAUCCUGCCCUAAGAUGAUCCAUAGCUUCUUGUUCCCCACCCAGGUCUCUUUUACCUGGAGAGUAUUCCAGACUGCUGAGCAUUGGCUGUUAAGGUCUCACGACUGCCUCCGGCACAGACACAGGCCACCUCAAGAUCUGCGAGGUUCCCUGUACUCCCCACCACUGAGGUGCCCCCAGCCAAUGAGUGACUGGUGCAGAGAUACAAAAGCCUAGACUCUGCUUUGAAGAGGAACAGUGCUGUGGUGCCAUGCAUGUUCCAGAGCAUCUGUGGGAUCAGGCUGGGGCUAGACUUGGGCUGAAACCACAUCUUUUCUUAGCUGCUCCUCUUCCUUUUCCUGCUUCUCUCCCUCUCUACACAUUCUUCCUGAGGGCUCCCUCCCGUUACACAACCUUUACAAGAAUCCCCACCUCAGCUCUGCUUCUGGGGAACUGACCCACAACAUGGGACUGGCUGACAUUUGUGAAGGGAGAAACCAGAGCUUUGAAAGACCAUCUAGUAACUACCAAGCCUCUGGCAACUGGAAGAACAUGAGCCUGCCCCAUAGAGCUUCUCUGCUGUUGACUACUGUACUGGUCCCAGGUGCUCAGCCAAAGCCAUCCCUCCAGAAACUGGUAAAUAGAUGACAAAUUCAAGUCAGUGUUACUUUAGCAACCAGACAAUUAAUUUAAGGUAGUAAGGUAAAAAGUAAGGUAGUACUCACUUUAAAGAGAGGUGAGGGGCACCUGAGUGGCUCAGUCAGUUAACAAUAGACUCUUGAUUUUGGCUCAGGUCAUGAUCCCGGGGUUAUGGGAUCAAGCCCUGCAUCAGGCUUUUAAGAGCUGCUCCCUGCUUAAGAUUUUUUCUCUCCUGGGACACCUGGGUGGCUCAGUGGUUGAGCGUCUGCCUUUGGCUCAGGUUGUGAUCCCAGAGUCCCCGGGGUUGAGUCCCGAGUCCCACAAUAGGCUCCCUGUGGGGAGCCUGCUAUUCCCUCUGACUGUCUCUGCCUCUCUCUCUUUCUCUGUAUCUCUCAUCAAUCGGUAAAUAAAAUCUUACAGAAGGAAAAAAAAAAGAUUUUCUCUUUCCCUCUGCCCCUCCCCUCCCUCUAAAAGAGAGAGAGAGAGGGAGAGAGUCAACUUGCUGACUGCUGUUUGCCUAAUUUGUUCAUGUUGCUCUACUGGACCCCCUCCCUGCCUGCUUGACUUUUUUGGGAAGAUGCUAUUCAAGAUAAGCUCUAAAAGAUGAGAUGAAGUCAGCAGAAAGUCCCUGGACUGAGGGAAGAGCUUGUGCAAAGGUCCUGAGACAAAACAAAACAAUUCUCAACACCUCCACCAACACCACUACUCAUAAAGGAAGAAGGUGUCCCAGCCACUGAGAGAAAGCC